AAAGAAUUAGUUUAAAAAAAACAUUAAAUUGUCAAUUUAAAAAUAUUUAAUACAAAAAUAUUCUUAU
RNAcentral lists this transfer RNA (67 nucleotides) under Pseudomyrmex ferrugineus. RNAcentral describes it as "tRNA-Asp". The record is from RNAcentral. Lineage: Eukaryota; Metazoa; Arthropoda; Insecta; Hymenoptera; Formicidae.